GGGAUUAUAGCUCAGCUGGUUAGAGCGCUACGUUGACAUCGUAGAGGUCAUUGGUUCGAUUCCAAUUAGUCCCACCA
RNAcentral lists this transfer RNA (77 nucleotides) under Clostridiales bacterium. RNAcentral's name for it is "tRNA-Val". It matches the Rfam family "tRNA". Rfam says of the family: Transfer RNA (tRNA) molecules are approximately 80 nucleotides in length. The record is from RNAcentral. Lineage: Bacteria; Bacillati; Bacillota; Clostridia; Eubacteriales.